Molecule: long non-coding RNA, 469 nt
Filed under: Brachypodium distachyon (stiff brome)
Lineage: Eukaryota; Viridiplantae; Streptophyta; Magnoliopsida; Poales; Poaceae
Description: long non-coding RNA (BDIS_LNC002696)
Source: RNAcentral
AGCAUGAUAUUGAUGCCACUAUUGUCGUUGCACAUUUGUCCAGCGCCUUGUUUCCUAAUGUUCUCAUUGAGUCUAAAACUUCAUAUCUCUUGUCCCUUAUAUUCAGAUUGAGUAACCAGUAGUGACCCAACGUAUCAUCCUUGCAUUUUGGAUCUAGUGGUUCAAUCAUUGGGAACAUUACCUUUACAACAACAAAAUAAAAAACCAAAAAAAGUUAGAAUACAUGCAAGUUUCGGUAAGAAAAUGGUUUUGACAAUUAGACAAACUACAAACAAAAGUAAGUUGGUCAGUAAGUUUUUGGUCCGCUCCCAGCAACUACUAGAAAACAAAUCUCAUGAGCUUUGAAGAAAAAGACAUGAAAAAUGGGGAAGAUAUAAUGCAAUUCCUUACCAUGUCCAGCCAGUCAAGGUGCAUUUUGUCCCUGUCGAAUCUUUUCUUUAAAUCAGAACUGGUCAAGUCAAAACGCUGC